GAUGAACGCUGGCGGCGUGCCUAACACAUGCAAGUCGAACGAAGCACCUUACCUGAUUCUUCGGAUGAAAGUUUGGUGACUGAGUGGCGGACGGGUGAGUAACGCGUGGGUAACCUGCCCUGUACAGGGGGAUAACAGCUGGAAACGGCUGCUAAUACCGCAUAAGCGCACGAGGAGACAUCUCCUUGUGUGAAAAACUCCGGUGGUACAGGAUGGGCCCGCGUCUGAUUAGCUGGUUGGCAGGGUAACGGCCUACCAAGGCAACGAUCAGUACCCGGUCGGAGAGGAUGAACGGCCACAUUGGAACUGAGACACGGUCCAAACUCCUACGGGAGGCAGCAGUGGGGAAUAUUGCACAAUGGGGGAAACCCUGAUGCAGCAACGCCGCGUGAGUGAAGAAGUAUUUCGGUAUGUAAAGCUCUAUCAGCAGGGAAGAUAAUGACGGUACCUGACUAAGAAGCUCCGGCUAAAUACGUG
Molecule: ribosomal RNA, 477 nt
Filed under: uncultured bacterium
Lineage: Bacteria
Description: partial 16S ribosomal RNA
Rfam family: Bacterial small subunit ribosomal RNA
Source: RNAcentral